Molecule: ribosomal RNA, 697 nt
Filed under: Salmonella enterica
Lineage: Bacteria; Pseudomonadati; Pseudomonadota; Gammaproteobacteria; Enterobacterales; Enterobacteriaceae
Description: partial 23S ribosomal RNA
Rfam family: Bacterial large subunit ribosomal RNA
Source: RNAcentral
GAACCAGUACCGUGAGGGAAAGGCGAAAAGAACCCCGGCGAGGGGAGUGAAAAAGAACCUGAAACCGUGUACGUACAAGCAGUGGGAGCACCCUUUGGGUGUGACUGCGUACCUUUUGUAUAAUGGGUCAGCGACUUAUAUUCUGUAGCAAGGUUAACCGAAUAGGGGAGCCGGAGGGAAACCGAGUCUUAACCGGGCGUUAAGUUGCAGGGUAUAGACCCGAAACCCGGUGAUCUAGCCAUGGGCAGGUUGAAGGUUGGGUAACACUAACUGGAGGACCGAACCGACUAAUGUUGAAAAAUUAGCGGAUGACCUGUGGCUGGGGGUGAAAGGCCAAUCAAACCGGGAGAUAGCUGGUUCUCCCCGAAAGCUAUUUAGGUAGCGCCUCGUGAAUUCAUCUCCGGGGGUAGAGCACUGUUUCGGCUAGGGGGCCAUCCCGGCUUACCAACCCGAUGCAAACUGCGAAUACCGGAGAAUGUUAUCACGGGAGACACACGGCGGGUGCUAACGUCCGUCGUGAAGAGGGAAACAACCCAGACCGCCAGCUAAGGUCCCAAAGUCAUGGUUAAGUGGGAAACGAUGUGGGAAGGCCCAGACAGCCAGGAUGUUGGCUUAGAAGCAGCCAUCAUUUAAAGAAAGCGUAAUAGCUCACUGGUCGAGUCGGCCUGCGCGGAAGAUGUAACGGGGCUAAACCAUG